Molecule: ribosomal RNA, 615 nt
Filed under: uncultured archaeon
Lineage: Archaea
Description: bacterial SSU rRNA
Rfam family: Archaeal small subunit ribosomal RNA
Source: RNAcentral
CCAGCGGUCACUGCUAUUGGAAUCUGAUUAAGACAUGCGAGUCGAGAGAUUUCGGAUCUCGGCAGACGGCUCAGUAACACGUGGAUAAUCUACCCUUGGAUGAGAGAUAACCUCGGGAAACUGAGGAUAAUAUCUCAUAGGUCUUGGUUGCUGGAAUGCUUCAAGGCUGAAAGCGUUAGCGUCCAAGGAUGAGUCUGCGGCCUAUCAGGUAGUAGUGGGUGUAAGGGACCCACUAGCCGAUGACGGGUACGGGCCCUGAGAGGGGGAGCCCGGAGAUGGGAUCUGAGACACGAUCCCAGACCCUACGGGGUGCAGCAGUUGCGAAACCUUCACACUGUGGGAAACCACGAUGAGGAGAUUCCAAGUGCCAACACCCAGUGUUGGCUUUUCAGAUGUCUAAAACGCAUCUAGAAUAAGGGCCGGGUAAGACGGGUGCCAGCCGCCGCGGUAACACCCGCGGCUCAAGUGGUGACCAUUAUUAUUGAGCUUAAAGCGUUCGUAGCCGGUCUGGUAAAUCUCUGGGUAAAUCGAACGGCUUAACCGUUCGAAUACCAGGGAGACUGCUAGACUUGGGACCGGGAGAGGCCAGAGGUACUCCUGGGGUAGAAGUAAAAU